Molecule: ribosomal RNA, 439 nt
Filed under: uncultured bacterium
Lineage: Bacteria
Description: partial 16S ribosomal RNA
Rfam family: Bacterial small subunit ribosomal RNA
Source: RNAcentral
CCUACGGGUGGCAGCAGUGGGGGAUAUUGCACAAUGGGGGAAACCCUGAUGCAGCGACGCCGCGUGGGUGAAGAAGCGCCUCGGCGCGUAAAGCCCUGUCAGCAGGGAAGAAAAUGACGGUACCUGAAGAAGAAGCCCCGGCUAACUACGUGCCAGCAGCCGCGGUAAUACGUAGGGAGCGAGCGUUGUCCGGAAUUACUGGGUGUAAAGGGAGCGUAGGCGGGACUGCAAGUUGGGUGUCAAAUCUACCGGCUCAACCGGUAGCCGCACUCAAAACUGCAGUUCUUGAGUGAAGUAGAGGCAGGCGGAAUGCCUAGUGUAGCGGUGAAAUGCGUAGAUAUACGGAGGAACACCAGUGGCGAAGGCGGAUUGCUGGACAGUAACUGACGCUGAGGCGCGAAAGCGUGGGGAGCAAACAGGAUUAGAUACCCUUGUAGUC